RNAcentral lists this ribosomal RNA (460 nucleotides) under uncultured bacterium. RNAcentral describes it as "partial 16S ribosomal RNA". It matches the Rfam family "Bacterial small subunit ribosomal RNA", at positions 338 to 795 of the family's 1533-position model. The record is from RNAcentral.
CCUACGGGAGGCAGCAGUGAGGAAUAUUGGUCAAUGGACGAGAGUCUGAACCAGCCAAGUAGCGUGAAGGAUGACUGCCCUAUGGGUUGUAAACUUCUUUUAUAUGGGAAUAAAAUGUUCCACGUGUGGGAUUUUGUAUGUACCAUAUGAAUAAGGAUCGGCUAACUCCGUGCCAGCAGCCGCGGUAAUACGGAGGAUCCGAGCGUUAUCCGGAUUUAUUGGGUUUAAAGGGAGCGUAGGGGGAUUGUUAAGUCAGUUGUGAAAGUUUGCGGCUCAACCGUAUAAUUGCAGUUGAAACUGGCAGUCUUGAGUACAGUAGAGGUGGGCGGAAUUCGUGGUGUAGCGGUGAAAUGCUUAGAUAUCACGAAGAACUCCGAUUGCGAAGGCAGUUCACUGGACUGCAACUGACACUGAGGCUCGAAAGUGUGGGUAUCAAACAGGAUUAGAUACCCCAGUAGUC